Molecule: long non-coding RNA, 1409 nt
Filed under: Homo sapiens (human)
Lineage: Eukaryota; Metazoa; Chordata; Mammalia; Primates; Hominidae
Description: non-protein coding lnc-CTNNA2-3:13
Source: RNAcentral
CACGCCUGCUGCAACACAGAGGUGCGACUGGGGCUGCACAUUUCACGGAGGUGUUGGGAGUUCCGCCCCUUCUGAUGUGGGGAAAGAGAUCCCCAGGUGCCCCUGCAUCUGCCCAAACUGUGGCUGUGGAUCGGAGGCUCCAGGUUGGCAGGUUGGGAGCUUCCGGGUGCAGCUGCGACCGCCCUCCCAGGUGCAGGACCCUGGUGUUUCUGCAGCCUGCACCCUUGGGGGCCCCAGGAAAGACCCAUAUCCUUGCAGGCUUGGAGGUGUUUGCUUCUUCUGCCUGGCCUCUCUCGGCUCCCGGUGCAUGCUCUCAUAUCUGAGUGGGGGUUGGUGCUGAGCCCCGGGGCCGUGAAUUGCAGCAGGAGGCAGAUUUAUUCCUGGGCAGAAGGUGGCAGAUCCCAAGUAAGGGGACCUUCAAGCCAGGGAGGGCCUGAAGGCUGGUGGCUGGGCUACCAGUCCCACCGACCAGAGUGGGGAUUCGUGGGCCUCUUCUGGGCCACCCAUAGCCACCCAUGGACCAAUCAGCAAGCACAUCCUCCCCUCUGAGGUCCGUAAAAGCCCUGGGCGCAGCCUGAGCAGGGCAGAGGAAGGCCAGAGGUGAAGGAGUCAGAGAGGCGACAGGAUAGGCAGCUGCCGAGAGAAGUACGCCUCUCUGCUGAGACCUGGAGAUGACGGGAAGGCCAGAUGCAGAGAGGAGCUACCCUCUCUGCUUAGAGCUGCCAGGAGGAGCUACCAACCUUCUCUGCUGAGAGCUGCAGAGAUGACCUGCUGGCAGAGAGGAGCUACCCACUGCGGGUCUCCUCUGAUCUGUUGUAAUGCUGAAUAAAGCUUCUUUUCAUCUUGUUCACCUUCCACUUGUCUGCAUACCUCAUUCUACCCGGACGCAAGCAAGAACUCGAGCAAAGGCACAACCAGCCACAGAGGUUUCUGGCCAGAAAAUCGACACCCCAAAAGUCCUAUAACAAUCUGAUUCUAAAAGCAACAUCAUCUUUUCAAUGUAAUUCUAAAAGAAUUUGGGAUUAUUUUAUUUAAUUUCAGGAUCCCCUCUGAAGAAAAUCAACUUACAAAGGAUGGCAGGUCUUAAGAAAGGUACUUAGCAAGUGCUGGUACAUUCUAAGCAAUCAAUAUUUGUCAAUGUUCAGUAAUUGUACAAUUGUACUAGAGAAAACAAUUCCAGGGGCUUAAAAUUAUCUUAUACAAGGAUCCACUUUAUUAUUAUUUUUUCUGUUUGUUUUGGAUAAAUUACUGACUCCUUAUCUCAGUUAUGUUAUGUGUUAAAUGUUUACAGUGUUAUUUUGUAUCUCUCAAGGGCUUUUGUUAGAAUUUUCAAUGAGAUACCUUAAAACCUCUAAAAAGAAAAUGGAUGUUAUAAGUAAAUAAAAAUAAGUCUGAAUGGCCAAAAAUAU